This 856-nucleotide long non-coding RNA is filed under the name Ananas comosus (pineapple). RNAcentral's name for it is "long non-coding RNA (ACOM_LNC042757)". Lineage: Eukaryota; Viridiplantae; Streptophyta; Magnoliopsida; Poales; Bromeliaceae. The record is from RNAcentral.
UCCAGUGUGUUACACUGGAAGUGUGAGAUGAGUCUCGACUGAGCGAGAGCCGGAAAGACAAAGUGAUAGGCUAUGCCGGAGUCUGAAUGACAAGAUGACCGGCUAUGCCAGACCAGCGAGACGAGUCUCACAUCGCCUGGUGAUCUUAGGCUGUGUGUGUGAUUGGACUGAUGAGGAUGUUAGGACCUUAACGGGAGGAGCAUGUCACACCCCAUUAAUCCCACAUCGGAUAGGAAUGGGGAUGUAAUUGGAUAUAUAAGAUACUUAGACACUAAUAAUAAUAACUGGGCUUAAUCAUUUUGGGCUGGCGGUUGGGCCCAACGAGUUAUUAUUGAUAGUGGGUUGGGUCGUUACAGUAAAAGUAAUGGCAAGCCUCGCCCUCUUAGAGACCAAUAUUAAGUCAGAGUUCUUUUAUCUUUUCUUUUUUUUCUCUCUCUUCUUAUUUUUUAUGCAUGCCGCAUCGCGCGGGUAACUAUACUAGUAUAAAAUAGGAAAAAAUUCAAAAAAAUCCCUGUGGUUUCGUAGUUUCUUACUUUGCCCCCCUGUGGUUUAAAAUGUAUCAAAUUGUCCUCCUGUGGUUUCAUUUUUAUCUUUUCGAUAGCUUUUUCGUUAAUAUUUCAUUAAAUUAUAUACAAAAAACUUCAGACACCCAUCUAGAUUUAUCAAAUAUUCACUUUACUACCCUUUAAUUUUAACUUUAUCACUGAUUUAAGAAAAAAAAUAAUAAAAUUGAUAAGAAAAAGAGAAAAAAAGAAAUUACAGGGGGCAAAUUGAUAUAUUUUAAACCACAGGAGGGCUAAGUAAAAAACUACGAAACCACGGGGGGUUUUUUGAAGUUUUUCCUAUAAAAUAAUAG